AGAGUUUGAUCAUGGCUCAGAUUGAACGCUGGCGGCAGGCCUAACACAUGCAAGUCGAACGGUAACAGGAAGAAGCUUGCUUCUUUGCUGACGAGUGGCGGACGGGUGAGUAAUGUCUGGGAAACUGCCUGAUGGAGGGGGAUAACUACUGGAAACGGUAGCUAAUACCGCAUAACGUCGCAAGACCAAAGAGGGGGACCUUCGGGCCUCUUGCCAUCGGAUGUGCCCAGAUGGGAUUAGCUAGUAGGUGGGGUAACGGCUCACCUAGGCGACGAUCCCUAGCUGGUCUGAGAGGAUGACCAGCCACACUGGAACUGAGACACGGUCCAGACUCCUACGGGAGGCAGCAGUGGGGAAUAUUGCACAAUGGGCGCAAGCCUGAUGCAGCCAUGCCGCGUGUAUGAAGAAGGCCUUCGGGUUGUAAAGUACUUUCAGCGGGGAGGAAGGGAGUAAAGUUAAUACCUUUGCUCAUUGACGUUACCCGCAGAAGAAGCACCGGCUAACUCCGUGCCAGCAGCCGCGGUAAUACGGAGGGUGCAAGCGUUAAUCGGAAUUACUGGGCGUAAAGCGCACGCAGGUGGUUUGUUAAGUCAGAUGUGAAAUCCCCGGGCUCAACCUGGGGACUGCAUCUGAUACUGGCAAGCUUGAGUCUCGUAGAGGGGGGUAGAAUUCCAGGUGUAGCGGUGAAAUGCGUAGAGAUCUGGAGGAAUACCGGUGGCGAAGGCGGCCCCCUGGACGAAGACUGACGCUCAGGUGCGAAAGCGUGGGGAGCAAACAGGAUUAGAUACCCUGGUAGUCCACGCCGUAAACGAUGUCGACUUGGAGGUUGUGCCCUUGAGGCGUGGCCUCCGGAGCUAACGCGUUAAGUCGACCGCCUGGGGAGUACGGCCGCAAGGUUAAAACUCAAAUGAAUUGACGGGGGCCCGCACAAGCGGUGGAGCAUGUGGUUUAAUUCGAUGCAACGCGAAGAACCUUACCUGGUCUUGACAUCCACGGAAGUUUUCAGAGAUGAGAAUGUGCCUUCGGGAACCGUGAGACAGGUGCUGCAUGGCUGUCGUCAGCUCGUGUUGUGAAAUGUUGGGUUAAGUCCCGCAACGAGCGCAACCCUUAUCCUUUGUUGCCAGCGGUCCGGCCGGGAACUCAAAGGAGACUGCCAGUGAUAAACUGGAGGAAGGUGGGGAUGACGUCAAGUCAUCUUGGCCCUUACGACCAGGGCUACACACGUGCUACAAUGGCGCAUACAAAGAGAAGCGACCUCGCGAGAGCAAGCGGACCUCAUAAAGUGCGUCGUAGUCCGGAUUGGAGUCUGCAACUCGACUCCAUGAAGUCGGAAUCGCUAGUAAUCGUGGAUCAGAAUGCCACGGUGAAUACGUUCCCGGGCCUUGUACACACCGCCCGUCACACCAUGGGAGUGGGUUGCAAAAGAAGUAGGUAGCUUAACCUUCGGGAGGGCGCUUACCACUUUGUGAUCAUGACUGGGGGUGAAGUCGUAACAAGGUAACCGUAGGGGAACCUGCGGUUG
This 1522-nucleotide ribosomal RNA is filed under the name metagenome. Its description in RNAcentral is "bacterial SSU rRNA". It matches the Rfam family "Bacterial small subunit ribosomal RNA". The record is from RNAcentral.